Molecule: ribosomal RNA, 253 nt
Filed under: uncultured bacterium
Lineage: Bacteria
Description: partial 16S ribosomal RNA
Rfam family: Bacterial small subunit ribosomal RNA
Source: RNAcentral
UACGGGGGGGGCAAGCGUUGUUCGGAAUUACUGGGCGUAAAGGGCUCGUAGGCGGCCAACUAAGUCAGACGUGAAAUCCCCAGGCUCAACCUGGGAACUGCGUCUGAUACUGGAUGGCUUGAAUCCGGGAGAGGGAUGCAGAAUUCCAGGUGUAGCGGUGAAAUGCGUAGAUAUCUGGAGGAACACCGGUGGCGAAGGCGGCGUCCUGGACCAACACUGACGCUCAUGCACGAAAGCGUGGGGAGCAAACAGG